This 200-nucleotide ribosomal RNA is filed under the name uncultured eukaryote. RNAcentral describes it as "partial 18S ribosomal RNA". It matches the Rfam family "Eukaryotic small subunit ribosomal RNA", at positions 588 to 790 of the family's 1831-position model. The record is from RNAcentral.
GCUCCAAUAGCGUAUAUUAAAGUUGUUGCGGUUAAAAAGCUCGUAGUUGGAUUUCUGUCUAAAGCGGCCGGUCUCCACUAUGUGGGUGUAUCUGGUUCGGUUUGGGCAUCCUCUUGGGGAACGGUUCUGCGCUUGAUUGCGUGGGCCGGAAUUCAAGACUUUUACUUUGAGGAAAUUAGAGUGUUCACGGCAAGCUAUCG